RNAcentral lists this ribosomal RNA (341 nucleotides) under Anaplasma platys. RNAcentral's name for it is "bacterial SSU rRNA". It matches the Rfam family "Bacterial small subunit ribosomal RNA", at positions 83 to 441 of the family's 1533-position model. The record is from RNAcentral. Lineage: Bacteria; Pseudomonadati; Pseudomonadota; Alphaproteobacteria; Rickettsiales; Anaplasmataceae.
UGAUAAAAAUUAGUGGCAGACGGGUGAGUAAUGCAUAGGAAUCUACCUAGUAGUAUGGGAUAGCCACUAGAAAUGGUGGGUAAUACUGUAUAAUCCCUGCGGGGGAAAGAUUUAUCGCUAUUAGAUGAGCCUAUGUUAGAUUAGCUAGUUGGUAGGGUAAAGGCCUACCAAGGCAGUGAUCUAUAGCUGGUCUGAGAGGAUGAUCAGCCACACUGGAACUGAGAUACGGUCCAGACUCCUACGGGAGGCAGCAGUGGGGAAUAUUGGACAAUGGGCGCAAGCCUGAUCCAGCUAUGCCGCGUGAGUGAGGAAGGCCUUAGGGUUGUAAAACUCUUUCAGUG